RNAcentral lists this ribosomal RNA (1755 nucleotides) under Hordeum vulgare subsp. vulgare (domesticated barley). Its description in RNAcentral is "bacterial LSU rRNA". It matches the Rfam family "Bacterial large subunit ribosomal RNA", at positions 1184 to 2925 of the family's 2925-position model. The record is from RNAcentral. Lineage: Eukaryota; Viridiplantae; Streptophyta; Magnoliopsida; Poales; Poaceae.
AAGCAGAAGACGGCAUACGAGAUCGGUCUCGGCAUUCCUGCUGAACCGCUCUUCCGAUCUAAGGUGAGUUGAGAAGCUUGCUGGAGGUAUCAGAAGUGCGAAUGCUGACAUAAGUAACGAUAAAGCGGGUGAAAAGCCCGCUCGCCGGAAGACCAAGGGUUCCUGUCCAACGUUAAUCGGGGCAGGGUGAGUCGACCCCUAAGGCGAGGCCGAAAGGCGUAGUCGAUGGGAAACGGGUUAAUAUUCCCGUACUCGGUGUUACUGCGAAGGGGGGACGGAGAAGGCUAUGUUGGCCGGGCGACGGUUGUCCCGGUUUAAGCGUGUAGGCUUGAGUUCCAGGCAAAUCCGGAACUCUUUAAGGCUGAGGCGUGAUGACGAGGCACUACGGUGCUGAAGUAACAAAUGCCCUGCUUCCAGGAAAAGCCUCUAAGCAUCAGGUAACAUCGAAUCGUACCCCAAACCGACACAGGUGAUCAGGUAGAGAAUACCAAGGCGCUUGAGAGAACUCGGGUGAAGGAACUAGGCAAAAUGGUGCCGUAACUUCGGGAGAAGGCACGCUGUCGUUAGGUGAAGUCACUUGCUGACGGAGCUGAAGGCAGUCGAAGAUACCAGCUGGCUGCAACUGUUUAUUAAAAACACAGCACUGUGCAAACACGAAAGUGGACGUAUACGGUGUGACGCCUGCCCGGUGCCGGAAGGUUAAUUGAUGGGGUUAUCCGCAAGGAGAAGCUCUUGAUCGAAGCCCCGGUAAACGGCGGCCGUAACUAUAACGGUCCUAAGGUAGCGAAAUUCCUUGUCGGGUAAGUUCCGACCUGCACGAAUGGCGUAAUGAUGGCCAGGCUGUCUCCACCCGAGACUCAGUGAAAUUGAACUCGCUGUGAAGAUGCAGUGUACCCGCGGCAAGACGGAAAGACCCCGUGAACCUUUACUACAGCUUGACACUGAACAUUGAGCCUUGAUGUGUAGGAUAGGUGGGAGGCUUUGAAGCGUGGACGCCAGUCUGCGUGGAGCCAACCUUGAAAUACCACCCUUUAACGUUUGAUGUUCUAACCUGGCGCCGUGAUCCGGCGUGGGGACAGUGUCUGGUGGGUAGUUUGACUGGGGCGGUCUCCUCCUAAAGAGUAACGGAGGAGCACGAAGGUUAGCUAAUCACGGUCGGACAUCGUGAGGUUAGUGCAAUGGCAUAAGCUAGCUUGACUGCGAGAGUGACGGCUCGAGCAGGUGCGAAAGCAGGUCAUAGUGAUCCGGUGGUUCUGAAUGGAAGGGCCAUCGCUCAACGGAUAAAAGGUACUCCGGGGAUAACAGGCUGAUACCGCCCAAGAGUUCAUAUCGACGGCGGUGUUUGGCACCUCGAUGUCGGCUCAUCACAUCCUGGGGCUGAAGUAGGUCCCAAGGGUACGGCUGUUCGCCGUUUAAAGUGGUACGCGAGCUGGGUUUAGAACGUCGUGAGACAGUUCGGUCCCUAUCUGCCGUGGGCGUUGGAGAAUUGAGGGGGGUUGCUCCUAGUACGAGAGGACCGGAGUGAACGCACCACUGGUGUUCGGGUUGUCAUGCCAAUGGCAUUGCCCGGUAGCUAAGUGCGGAAAAGAUAAGCGCUGAAAGCAUCUAAGCGCGAAACUUGCCUCGAGAUGAAUUCUCCCUGACUCCUUGAGAGUCCUGAAGGGACGUUGAAGACUACGACGUUGAUAGGCCGGGUGUGUAAGCGCAGCGAUGCGUUGAGCUAACCGGUACUAAUGACCCGUGAGGCUUAACCUU